CCUACGGGGGGCAGCAGUGGGGAAUAUUGGACAAUGGGCGCAAGCCUGAUCCAGCCAUGCCGCGUGAGUGAAGAAGGCCUUAGGGUUGUAAAGCUCUUUCAGCGGGGACGAUAAUGACGGUACCCGCAGAAGAAGCCCCGGCUAACUUCGUGCCAGCAGCCGCGGUAAUACGAAGGGGGCUAGCGUUGUUCGGAAUUACUGGGCGUAAAGCGCGCGUAGGCGGGUCGUUAAGUCAGGGGUGAAAUGCCGGGGCUCAACCUCGGAACUGCCUUUGAUACUGACGACCUGGAGUUCGGGAGAGGUGAGUGGAAUUCCGAGUGUAGAGGUGAAAUUCGUAGAUAUUCGGAGGAACACCAGAAGCGAAGGCGGCUCACUGGCCCGAUACUGACGCUGAGGCGCGAAAGCGUGGGGAGCAAACAGGAUUAGAUACCCUGGUAGUC
RNAcentral lists this ribosomal RNA (440 nucleotides) under uncultured bacterium. Its description in RNAcentral is "bacterial SSU rRNA". It matches the Rfam family "Bacterial small subunit ribosomal RNA", at positions 338 to 795 of the family's 1533-position model. The record is from RNAcentral.